UCAGAUUGAACGCUGGCGGCAGGCUUAACACAUGCAAGUCGAGCGGGGGAAGGUAGCUUGCUACUGGACCUAGCGGCGGACGGGUGAGUAAUGCUUAGGAAUCUGCCUAUUAGUGGGGGACAACAUUCCGAAAGGAAUGCUAAUACCGCAUACGUCCUACGGGAGAAAGCAGGGGACCUUCGGGCCUUGCGCUAAUAGAUGAGCCUAAGUCGGAUUAGCUAGUUGGUGGGGUAAAGGCCUACCAAGGCGACGAUCUGUAGCGGGUCUGAGAGGAUGAUCC
RNAcentral lists this ribosomal RNA (280 nucleotides) under Acinetobacter sp. TC19. Its description in RNAcentral is "partial 16S rRNA". It matches the Rfam family "Bacterial small subunit ribosomal RNA", at positions 24 to 306 of the family's 1533-position model. The record is from RNAcentral. Lineage: Bacteria; Pseudomonadati; Pseudomonadota; Gammaproteobacteria; Moraxellales; Moraxellaceae. RNAcentral also lists the same sequence under 1 other name.